AUUGAACGCUGGCGGCAGGCCUAACACAUGCCAGUCGAACGGUAACAGGAAGAAGCUUGCUUCUUUGCUGACGAGUGGCGGACGGGUGAGUCAUGUCUGGGAAACUGCCUGAUGGAGGGGGAUAACUACUGGAAACGGUAGCUAAUACCGCAUAACGUCGCAAGACCAAAGAGGGGGACCUUCGGGCCUCUUUCCAUCCGAUGUGCCCAGAUGGGAUUAGCUAGUAGGUGGGGUAACGGCUCACCUAGGCGACGAUCCCUAGCUGGUCUGAGAGGAUGACCAGCCACACUGGAACUGAGACACGGUCCAGACUCCUACGGGAGGCAGCAGUGGGGAAUAUUGCGCAAUGGGCGAAAGCCUGAUGGAGCCAUGCCGCGUGUAUGAAGAAGGCCUUCGGGUUGUAAAGUACUUUCAGCGGGGAGGAAGGGAGUAAAGUUAAUACCUGUGCUCAUUGACGUUACCCGCAGAAGAAGCACCGGCUAACUCCGUG
Molecule: ribosomal RNA, 490 nt
Filed under: uncultured bacterium
Lineage: Bacteria
Description: partial 16S ribosomal RNA
Rfam family: Bacterial small subunit ribosomal RNA
Source: RNAcentral